ACCCACACUGUCCCUUUAUCACGCAUCAGGACAUCCAGCGAGCCGUUGAUGACGUCAACAGUGACGUGGAGGCCGAACAGACCAAGGUGGAGCUGGUGGAGGCCGUGAACCAGGCAGUCCAGAUGGGCGACAGUGCGUCCCUGCUGAACACCCUGACGGACCCAGCGCUCGGGUACUGUGACGUCACCCAGCACAGCGUCCACCACUGCCUACAGCUGCUUAAGAGCGCUCAGACGGCGAAGCUGCGCCGUGAAGGCGACGGCGUGCUGUGGCUGGAGGACGUCGACGAGGCGGUGCGGA
Molecule: long non-coding RNA, 300 nt
Organism: Pollicipes pollicipes
Lineage: Eukaryota; Metazoa; Arthropoda; Thecostraca; Pollicipedomorpha; Pollicipedidae
Exons: 3
Source: RefSeq, a predicted model, not a curated record